AGUUCAGAUUCUGGCUCAGAUUGAACGCUGGUGAUGCUUCAAGACAUGCAAGUCGAACGGCAGCACGGACUUCGGUCUGGUGGCGAGUGGCGAACGGGUGAGUAAUGUAUCGGAACGUGCCUAGUAGCGGGGAUAACUACGCGAAAGCGUAGCUAAUACCGCAUACAGCCCUUCGGGGGAAAGCGGGGGACCUUCGGGCUCGCACUAUUAGGAGCGGCCGAUAUCGGAUUAGCUAGUUGGUGGGGUAACGGCUCACCAAGGCGACGAUCCGUAGCUGGUUUGAGAGGACGACCAGCCACACUGGGACUGAGACACGGCCCAGACUCCUACGGAGGCAGCAGUGGGGAAUUUUGGACAAUGGGGGAAACCCUGAUCCAGCCAUCCCGCGUGUGCGAUGAAGGCCUCGGGUUGUAAAGCACUUUUGGCAGGAAAAGAAACGGCGCACGGGAUAAUACCCCGUGCAACUGACGGUACCUGCAGAAUAAGCACCGGCUAACUACGUGCCAGCAGCCGCGGUAAUACGUAGGGUGCAAGCGUUAAUCGGAAUUACUGGUAAAGCGUGCGCAGGCGGUUCGGAAAGAAAGAUGUGAAAUCCCAGAGCUUAACUUUGGAACUGCAUUUUUAACUACCGAGCUAGAGUGUGUCAGAGGAGGUGUGAAUCGCGUGUAUAUGAAAUGCGUAGAUAUGCGGAGGAACACCGGUGGCGAAGGCAGCCUCCUGGGGAUAACACUGACGCUCAUGCACGAAAGCGUGGGGAGCAAACAGGAUUAGAUACCCUGGUAGUCCACGCCCUAAACGAUGUCAACUAGCUGUUGGGGCCUUCGGGCCUUGGUAGCGCAGCUAACGCGUGAAGUUGACCGCCUGGGGAGUACGGUCGCAAGAUUAAAACUCAAAGGAAUUGAUUUGGACCCGCACAAGCGGUGGAUGAUGUGGAUUAAUU
Molecule: unclassified non-coding RNA, 940 nt
Filed under: uncultured Bordetella sp.
Lineage: Bacteria; Pseudomonadati; Pseudomonadota; Betaproteobacteria; Burkholderiales; Alcaligenaceae
Description: partial 16S-23S ribosomal RNA intergenic spacer
Rfam family: Bacterial small subunit ribosomal RNA
Source: RNAcentral